Molecule: ribosomal RNA, 373 nt
Filed under: uncultured eukaryote
Lineage: Eukaryota
Description: partial 18S ribosomal RNA
Rfam family: Eukaryotic small subunit ribosomal RNA
Source: RNAcentral
CAAUAGCGUAUAUUUAAGUUGUUGCAGUUAAAAAGCUCGUAGUUGGAUUUCGGUUGAGAACGGCCGGUCCGCCGUUUGGUGUGCACUGGCUGGUUUCAACUUCCUGUAGAGGACGCGCUCUGGCUUCACGGCUGGACGCGGAGUCUACGUGGUUACUUUGAAAAAAUUAGAGUGUUCAAAGCGGGCUUACGCUUGAAUAUUUCAGCAUGGAAUAACACUAUAGGACUCCUGUCCUAUUUCGUUGGUCUCGGGACGGGAGUAAUGAUUAAGAGGAACAGUUGGGGGCAUUCGUAUUUCAUUGUCAGAGGUGAAAUUCUUGGAUUUAUGAAAGACGAACUUCUGCGAAAGCAUUUGCCAAGGAUGUUUUCAUUAA